GGGGCGGACGUUUGCGGGCCUGUUUGUCUGCAGGCUUUGCUGCCCGACAAGUGCGCUCGCGGGAGAGCCGCGCCAGGCCACGCGCCUCGCUCGCCCGCGGCCGGCCCGCUGUCGCCGCCGUCCUGUUCCCCGGGUCCCAGGGUCGAGGAUGAAGAUGCAAAGAGGCGCGUAGCUGGCAUUUGCCAAAAUGUCAGAACUGGGAAAGGCCGAACUUGGUGAAGCGCCACUUUCUUCCUUAAGAAAGUCAUUGGUCGUGGCUUUGCUGUGUGUGAGCAGGGACCGAGGAAGAAGGCUUCGUCCGGAAAUCCCGCGUGGGACGGGAGAGAGGAAGGAAAGUAGAGCAAGGGACGGCCAGGAAAAUGCAGAAAUAUUUGCUUGGACUUUGGUGUCUGCAAGAUGCGACGAGAAACGGAUGACGUCGGGGUUCAGAACUAGUUUUAAAAAGGCGUCUGGGCAUCUCGCCCUCCCCCCGCCCUUAAGGCUCAUCUGGUUUAAAGACUAUAAAAUCCUAUGGAGAAUCACACACCCGCUUCUGGGGGUUUACCAAUGUCUGCAAGGUAGUGUCGAGAAUGGAGAAUGCACGCUGACUGCCCAGGGCCACCUGAGCUGCAGCAGUGGAACCAGACCCAGGGCGUGAAGGUUCACUCUAGCCUUUUUUUUUUUUUUUUUUUUUUUUUUUGAGCCUGAACAGACUUUUCAGCCCUUCAGAGCCCUGUAGCAAGAUCCUGCUAAGGACUGACUGACCUUCAGAGUAGGUUAGAGCCUGACUUACUGACCCUUCACAGUAGGCUGGAGCCUGACUUACUGACCCUUCAGAGUAGGCUGGAGCCUGACUUACCCUCAGAGUAGGUUAGAGCCUGGACUUACUGACCCUUCACAGUAGGUUAAAGCCUGGACUUACUGACCCUUCAAAGUAGGUUAGAGCCUGACUUACUGACCUUUCACAGUAGGCUGGAGCCUGACUUACCCUCAGAGUAGGUUAGAGCCUGGACUUACUGACCCUUCACAGUAGGUUAAAGCUUGGACUUACUGACCCUUCAGAGUAGGUUAGAGCCUGACUUACUGACCUUUCACAGUAGGCUGGAGCCUGACUUACUGACCCUUCAGAGUAGGCUGGAGCCUGGACUUACCCUUCGUAGUAGGUUAGAGCCUGACUUACUGACCCUUCAGAGUAGGCUGGAGCCUGGACUUACCCUUCGUAGUAGGUUAGAGCCUGACUUACUGACCCUUCAGAGUAGGCUGGAGCCUGGACGUACUGACCCUCAGAGUAGGUUAGAGCCUGACUUACCCUCAGACGAGGUUAGAGCCUGACUUACUGACCCUUCACAGUAGGCUGGAGCCUGGACUUACUGACCCUUCAGAAUAGGUUAGAGCGUGACUUACUGACCCUUCACAGUAGGUUAGAGCCUGACUUACUGACCCUUCAGAGUAGGAUAGAGCCUGACUUACUGACCCUCAGAGUAGGCUGGAGCCUGGACUUACCUUCAGAGUAGGUUAGAGCCUGACUUACUGACCCUUCACAGUAGGCUGGAGCCUGGACUUACUGACCCUUCUUCACAGUAGCUUAGAGCCUGACUUACCCUUCAGAGUAGGCAAGAGCCUGAACUUACUGACCCUUCACAGUAGGUUAGAGCCUGACUUACUGACCUUUCACAGUAGGCUGGAGCCUGACUUACUGACCCUUCAGAGUAGGCUGGAGCCUGGACGUACUGACCCUCAGAGUAGGUUAGAGCCUGACUUACCCUCAGACGAGGUUAGAGCCUGACUUACUGACCCUUCACAGUAGGCUGGAGCCUGGACUUACUGACCCUUCUUCACAGUAGCUUAGAGCCUGACUUACCCUUCAGAGUAGGUUAGAGCCUGGACUUACUGACCCUUCAGAGUAGGUUAGAGCCUGACUUAAGGACCCUUCACAGUAGGCUGGAGCCUGGCUUACCCUUCAGAAUAGGCUAAAGCCUGGACUUACCCUUCAGAGUAGGCUAGAGCCUGGACUUACUGACCCUUCAGAGUAGGCUAGAGCCUGGCAUUCUUUGGAAAAGUGAGCAAGUCAGAGAGUGGGAAGUGGUGGGAGAGGAGGCCCUGAAAGGGUUGGUCAGAAACCAGGCAGAGAAAAACUAUGCUGUCUUCUCAGUUUCGUCCUGGGUCCUGUCCGACCCCACCCUCCUUCUCUGGGGCUCCCAGCUUCAGCGUUAUCUCCACAUGCUGCUGCUGACUCCAUGACUCCAUGUCCUUGCAUCUCAAUGGGCUGCUGUUCUUUCCAUCCUAUGCCUUCAUGAAUUGCAGAACCUUUCCUGGACCACAUCUUUCCAUCACUCUGAUCUCCUCUCUCCCACGAUUCCUGAUACACAACUGAAUGUCUAGGUCACUCAUUUUGAGCCAGAAAAGUGCGUUUUAUGGCCUAAGGCAAGACAGUUCUUAUCUCAAGCCAUCACAUUCCUCAACUGUGAAAUAGCAAUCCUGACAACAACCUUCCCAAACUGAUGUGAGCAUCACAUGGAAUCACAGGGAAGUAGGAGCUCAGGAUAGCUGCUGGAAUUGUUAUCUUGCAGAAGGCAAAAAUCAAUUUUAUACUAGGGGGAUUGUUCUUAUACUGGGGCUCAAUUCUUUGGUGUUUCUGAGCAACAGCUCCUUCAUGCCCAUCUCAGAACAAACACAAUCUGCAUUCAGAACAGGACCGUUUACAAGUUCAAUGGAGUUAUUUUGGGAACUUGCUAGAAAGCUAUUGAAACCACGGAGGUAGAAGAAGAAACAAACAGACUAGGAUCUAUUCAAACUUGUCACUAUUGACCAGUCUUUGAGUGAAAAGUAUCUAGCACCAAACUAAUAGAGAAUAUCAGAUAUGACUCAUUACUCUUGGUGUAAUCCCCAAGGACCAGAGAAGCUCUGCUUUAAAGCUUCUCAUUUCCUAUCUAACGUAGAAACCAAUAAUCUUAUCAAUGACUGCUGAGGAAUCAACUAUGUAACAGGAUUGUUGUGAGGAUUGACCGAGAUUACAUAUGUAAAGCUUCUUAAAACAGUGGCCAGGAAGAUGGAAGAAGAAAAGAUAAGAAAGAACUGAAGUAUGGGAAUCUUUUCAACUGUUUCACUGGUUGAAGGCUACAUAAAAUACAACUGGAAACUUCAUUGGCUCUACCUCAAAAUAUAUACAGAAUUUAGGAAAUUCUUCAGGCAAAAAGCAUAGGAGACCAACCAUAAACUUGGAUCUACAUCAAGGAAUGAAGAGCAUUGGAAGUGGAAGCAAGGCUCCACACCCAGUGUGGAGCCCAACAUGGGGCUUGAAAUCACAACUGAGAGAUCAAGACCUGAGCUGAGAUCAAGAAUCAGACACCAACUGAGCCAUCCAGGUGCCCCUGGACUGAGUACUUACAGAUCUGGAUUCUAGUCUUGGCUUUGCCCAGGAAGAAACCAUGUGCAUUUGGCAAGUAUAACUGUAUAAUGACAUUAACAACCAGCAUCCAUUCAGUCCUUUGUCUUUAUGUGCCAGAUACUCUUCUGGCUCUUUAUGUUUAUUUGCUUUACUCAGCUCUUACAGACCUCUAUUGUCAAGAACUGUGAAGGGUCUAAGAUGUCGCUCCACUUGGAAGCUACUAUGUUAGCCUGUCACAAUCACAUGGAUGUUGGCAGAAGAUGUGAGACCCGUGAGUCACAGACGAAGGUCUUUAUUACCUACAUAGAUAUUAACAGCCAGAAUAUCAGCAUUUACAUCAGUUCUCUGAGGUCCAGGUGAUUUCUACACACAGAGAGAGUCAUAGUGCAGGAGAAGAAUGCUGAAAUAAGGGAACCCAAAUCUUUUAAAAUGGAAAGAAAGCAUAUCUCCAGAGGGAGACAUCUUUAUUUUGCUGAGUUGUAAGCAAACCUGCUCUUUGCCCUGAGGCAGACACUAUAACCUUCAAGGCUGUCAUCUAUACAAACAUCUUUGAAAAGGUAGUCCGUGUGACUGCUCAAAAGACAGGCAAAGAAACCUAUGGAGAAUUGUCUACCAACACCUGUGAAAAGAUACUGUAAAACUUGAUAUCACAGAUGGAGGAACAAAAGAUCUGAGAGGCUAAGUAAUUUGCCCAAGGCUUGUGUGAUUGUCUGACCCAGAUAACGGAUUCCAAGAGCCUGGAAUCUUCAACAGUGUAAUCACUAAUAUUACUUUGAAUGUAAACAUUAUUAUUUAAAUAUAUAUUUGCAAAUAUCUUCUCCCAUUCUGUAGGUUGUCUUUU
Canis lupus familiaris (dog) is the source of this 4208-nucleotide long non-coding RNA. RefSeq lists it as uncharacterized. Lineage: Eukaryota; Metazoa; Chordata; Mammalia; Carnivora; Canidae. The transcript is spliced from 11 exons. The record is from RefSeq and is a predicted model, not a curated record.